AUUGAACGAUGGCGGCAGGCCUAACACAUGCAAGUCGAACGGUAGCACAGAGAGCUUGCUCUCGGGUGACGAGUGGCGGACGGGUGAGUAAUGUCUGGGAAACUGCCCGAUGGAGGGGGAUAACUACUGGAAACGGUAGCUAAUACCGCAUAAUGUCGCAAGACCAAAGAGGGGGACCUUCGGGCCUCUUGCCAUCGGAUGUGCCCAGAUGGGAUUAGCUAGUUGGUGAGGUAAUGGCUCACCAAGGCGACGAUCCCUAGCUGGUCUGAGAGGAUGACCAGCCACACUGGAACUGAGACACGGUCCAGACUCCUACGGGAGGCAGCAGUGGGGAAUAUUGCACAAUGGGCGCAAGCCUGAUGCAGCCAUGCCGCGUGUGUGAAGAAGGCCUUCGGGUUGUAAAGCACUUUCAGCGGGGAGGAAGGCAAUACGGUUAAUAACCGUGUUGAUUGACGUUACCCGCAGAAGAAGCACCGGCUAACUCCGUG
This 488-nucleotide ribosomal RNA is filed under the name uncultured bacterium. RNAcentral's name for it is "partial 16S ribosomal RNA". It matches the Rfam family "Bacterial small subunit ribosomal RNA", at positions 30 to 507 of the family's 1533-position model. The record is from RNAcentral.